UGGCUGGGCCGGCGGCGGCGGCGGUACGAGGCGCGCGCUCGGGGUCCCGGUCGCGAGGAGGAGGAGGAUGUGGCGCGCGGAGGGGAAAUGGCUGCCGAAAACAAGCCGGAAGAUGAUCAUGGGAACAGCAAUAGUAGUCAUGUAAAAAUCUUUUUACCGAAAAAGCUGCUUGAAUGUCUGCCGAAAUGUUCAAGUUUACCAAAAGAGAGGCACCGCUGGAACACUAAUGAGAGAUCAUGAUGCAGCCGUCCUUUUGGAUUUCUUUUUAAUAAUGUGUGACCCUUCACCUUUGAUCCCCUGACCUGCAUUACCUUGGCUCUCACCACACACUUGUUCAUGGGCGCAGCAAAGAAGAGGGAUCCACAGAGCUGGAGCCGUGAGGGCUGACACAUUGGAAUGAAAGUUGGCAGAAUUCAUAGGGAGAGCUUUCCCAUCCUGCCAGCCCCAUGUCUGGCUUUAAGACAGUUCUAUUAGUGAAUUAACUGUUCUCAAAACCCCAAAUUAAUUUGAACCGAAUGUUACUAAAAAUGAAAUAGAAUAAAGUGACCUACUCUUGCCUCAUCCGGAGUUAUUACGAAGGAGCUCCGCAGCCUGACUGAGCUCUGGAGAGCAGGGCUCUGUGCACAUGCCUCCUGGUCCAGAGGCCUCCGUGACCAUCCAUGAUGCCACUCUGUCCCUUCAGCAAGCUGCCUUUUUCUUCCUAGCACCUGCCCCAGCGGUGGUAUGUUUUCCUGUCAGUUACCACCUGUCUCAUCAGAAUGGAAGCUCCAUGAGAGCAGGGCCUUUGUCUUGUCCCCGUGUAUCUCCAGUGCAUAGGACAGUGCUGACACAGUGCAGAGUCUAAAUAAAUGCUGUUGAACGAA
Molecule: small RNA, 863 nt
Filed under: Pongo abelii (Sumatran orangutan)
Lineage: Eukaryota; Metazoa; Chordata; Mammalia; Primates; Hominidae
Description: processed transcript
Source: RNAcentral